Molecule: transfer RNA, 73 nt
Filed under: uncultured Acidobacteria bacterium HF0770_27F21
Lineage: Bacteria; Pseudomonadati; Acidobacteriota
Description: tRNA-Ile
Rfam family: tRNA
About the family: Transfer RNA (tRNA) molecules are approximately 80 nucleotides in length. Their secondary structure includes four short double-helical elements and three loops (D, anti-codon, and T loops). Further hydrogen bonds mediate the characteristic L-shaped molecular structure. tRNAs have two regions of fundamental functional importance: the anti-codon, which is responsible for specific mRNA codon recognition, and the 3' end, to which the tRNAs corresponding amino acid is attached (by aminoacyl-tRNA synthetases). tRNAs cope with the degeneracy of the genetic code in two manners: having more than one tRNA (with a specific anti-codon) for a particular amino acid; and 'wobble' base-pairing, i.e. permitting non-standard base-pairing at the 3rd anti-codon position.
Source: RNAcentral
GGGCCUAUAGCUCAGUUGGCAGAGCGCGCCCCUGAUAAGGGCGAGGUCCCUGGUUCAAAUCCAGGUAGGCCCA